RNAcentral lists this ribosomal RNA (468 nucleotides) under uncultured bacterium. RNAcentral describes it as "partial 16S ribosomal RNA". It matches the Rfam family "Bacterial small subunit ribosomal RNA", at positions 28 to 507 of the family's 1533-position model. The record is from RNAcentral.
GACGAACGCUGGCGGCGUGCUUAACACAUGCAAGUCGAACGGAAAGGCCCUGCUUUUGUGGGGUUCUCGAGUGGCGAACGGGUGAGUAACACGUGAGUAACCUGCCCUUGACUUUGGGAUAACUUCAGGAAACUGGGGCUAAUACCGGAUAGGAGCUCCUGCUGCAUGGUGGGGGUUGGAAAGUUUCGGCUGUUGGGGAUGGACUCGCGGCUUAUCAGCUUGUUGGUGGGGUAGUGGCUUACCAAGGCUUUGACGGGUAGCCGGCCUGAGAGGGUGACCGGCCACAUUGGGACUGAGAUACGGCCCAGACUCCUACGGGAGGCAGCAGUGGGGAAUAUUGCACAAUGGGCGGAAGCCUGAUGCAGCAACGCCGCGUGCGGGAUGACGGCCUUCGGGUUGUAAACCGCUUUCGCCUGUGACGAAGCGUGAGUGACGGUAAUGGGUAAAGAAGCACCGGCUAACUACGUG